This 1004-nucleotide small RNA is filed under the name Pan troglodytes (chimpanzee). RNAcentral's name for it is "retained intron". Lineage: Eukaryota; Metazoa; Chordata; Mammalia; Primates; Hominidae. The record is from RNAcentral.
GCAGGACGGGACAAGGAUCAGAGCCUUCCUGCAACCCCGGCCACUGCCUGCUGUCUGUGGGCCUGGACUGUGCGGGCAACUGUGCUUGGCCCGAGUGACAAGGAGAUGGGGACAUCACACUGGGAGGCCUGUUCCCGGUGCAUGGCCGGGGCUCAGAGGGCAAGCCCUGUGGAGAACUUAAGAAGGAAAAGGGCAUCCACCGGCUGGAGGCCAUGCUCUUCGCCCUGGAUCGCAUCAACAACGACCCGGACCUGCUGCCUAACAUCACGCUGGGCGCCCGCAUUCUGGACACCUGCUCCAGGGACACCCAUGCCCUCGAGCAGUCGCUGACCUUUGUGCAGGCGCUCAUCGAGAAGGAUGGCACAGAGGUCCGCUGUGGCAGUGGCGGCCCACCCAUCAUCACCAAGCCUGAACGUGUGGUGGGUGUCAUCGGUGCUUCAGGGAGCUCGGUCUCCAUCAUGGUGGCCAACAUCCUUCGCCUCUUCAAGAUACCCCAGAUCAGCUACGCCUCCACAGCGCCAGACCUGAGUGACAACAGCCGCUACGACUUCUUCUCCCGCGUGGUGCCCUCGGACACGUACCAGGCCCAGGCCAUGGUGGACAUCGUCCGUGCCCUCAAGUGGAACUAUGUGUCCACGGUGGCCUCGGAGGGCAGCUAUGGUGAGAGCGGUGUGGAGGCCUUCAUCCAGAAGUCCCGUGAGGACGGUGAGUCAAACGCCUGGCCGCAGAGUCAUGCCAGGCUCGGGGGUGUCCCGGCACAGUGACUGACCCACCAGGAGCUCCCAGCCGGGGCCUGAUACAGGCUCUGACUGCCUGGCUGUUGCCAGGUGGGCCUCGGCCUCUUCUUUGAGCACUGUGGUUUGGUCCAUGGCCUCACUGGGCUCUGGGUGACUCCGGUCAAUGGCGACUGUGAGGCCUUUGCAGACGUGGGUGUGCAGAUGAGGGGACUGUUGACCUCCCUGGUGCGGGAGCCUGCGGGGCGGCCGCUCUCCUCACAGCAGAGG